This 73-nucleotide transfer RNA is filed under the name Candidatus Omnitrophota bacterium. RNAcentral describes it as "tRNA-Arg". It matches the Rfam family "tRNA". From Rfam's summary of the family: Transfer RNA (tRNA) molecules are approximately 80 nucleotides in length. Their secondary structure includes four short double-helical elements and three loops (D, anti-codon, and T loops). The record is from RNAcentral. Lineage: Bacteria; Pseudomonadati; Candidatus Omnitrophota.
GCCCCCGUAGCUCAAAUGGAUAGAGCACGGCUCUCCUAAGGCCGCCGUGGCCGUUCGAUUCGGCCCGGGGGCG